This is a long non-coding RNA of Carassius auratus (goldfish), 189 nucleotides long. RefSeq lists it as uncharacterized. The record is from RefSeq and is a predicted model, not a curated record. The transcript has 3 exons. Lineage: Eukaryota; Metazoa; Chordata; Actinopteri; Cypriniformes; Cyprinidae.
AAUUAAAUCCUGCUGUAAUGUGAUCGCGCUUCCUAUUGGCUGCGCUGGUGGCGCUAUAGCGCACGGAGUUCGAAUGAACUGCAGCAGAGCUAGAGGGAACUGCUGUGGAUGGAGCUGUAUUAGCGUGACUCACAAUUCUCUUCUUUCCACUGCUCUGUGUGCAGGGAAAUAAAGUAAAAUAUCAUCCAC